Molecule: RNA transcript, 3198 nt
Organism: Medicago truncatula (barrel medic)
Lineage: Eukaryota; Viridiplantae; Streptophyta; Magnoliopsida; Fabales; Fabaceae
Gene name: pentatricopeptide repeat-containing protein At4g20090
Exons: 2
Source: RefSeq, a predicted model, not a curated record
GACCUAUGACAUGAAAAAGGCUAACUUGAGACAUGAGAGAAGAAAGCAGCAGCAACGUUGUUCUUCCCACAAGACAGCAACAUUCUUAAAACUUGGGUGGUGGUAACCACAAACACAAACCACUUCUUCAACCAAAACAAACCCAAUUUGUGUCGAAUUCAUGCCAUGCCAAAAUGUUCAACAUUUCCCAAAACCCUUCUCAAACACUCUCUUCACCUAAAACCCCAAACCCUAACCCUAACCUUUCUCUCUUACUCUUCCUCCAAUCUCCCCCAUACCCAUCACUCCCUUCCACCUCAAAUCUUCAAAUCACCCUCCAACACCUCUUCUCACAAAUGGGGUUCUUACAAAUUGGGCGAUUUAUCCUUCUACUCCCUCAUCGAAAAUUUCUCCAAUUCCUUAGAUUUCACCUCCUUGGAACAACUCCUUCAUCAAAUGAAGUGUGAAAAUCGAGUCUUUAUCGAAAAAAGCUUCAUUAUCAUGUUCAAAGCUUAUGGAAAAGCACAUUUACCUCAAAAAGCUUUGGACUUGUUUCAUAGAAUGGGAGCUGAGUUUCACUGUAAGCAAACUGUUAAAUCUUUUAACACUGUUCUUAAUGUUGUUAUUCAAGAGGGUUGUUUUGAUCUUGCUUUAGAGUUUUAUAACCAUGUUAUUGAUUCCAAUAGUUUUAGUAAUAUUCAACCAAAUGGGCUUAGUUUUAAUUUGGUGAUUAAGGCUUUGUGUAGAGUUGGAAAUGUUGAUCAAGCUGUUGAGGUUUUUAGAGGGAUGAGUGAUAGGAAUUGUGUUGCUGAUGGUUAUACUUAUUCGACGUUGAUGCAUGGUUUGUGCAAUGAGGGGAGGAUUGAUGAGGCGGUUUCGUUGUUGGAUGAGAUGCAGGUUGAAGGCACGUUUCCGAAUCCGGUUGCGUUUAAUGUUUUGAUUAGUGCAUUGUGUAAGAAAGGUGAUUUGUCGCGUGCGUCGAAGCUGGUUGAUAAUAUGUUUCUUAAGGGUUGUGUUCCGAAUGAAGUGACGUAUAAUUCGCUUGUUCAUGGUUUGUGUCUUAAGGGUAAGUUGGAUAAGGCGAUGAGUCUUUUGAAUCGGAUGGUGGCGAAUAAAUGUGUGCCUAAUGAUAUUACUUUUGGAACACUUGUUGAUGGGUUUGUUAAGCAUGGUAGGGCUUUGGAUGGGGUGCGUGUUUUGGUUUCGUUGGAAGAGAAGGGUUAUCGUGGGAAUGAGUUUAGUUACUCGUCUCUUAUUAGUGGAUUGUUCAAGGAGGGGAAAGGCGAGCAUGGAAUGCAGUUGUGGAAGGAAAUGGUUGAAAAAGGAUGUAAACCAAAUACUAUAGUGUAUAGUGCUCUUAUAGAUGGUCUUUGUCGAGAAGGGAAACCAGAUGAAGCGAAAGAAUACUUAAUAGAGAUGAAGAAUAAAGGACACACUCCCAAUUCUUUCACUUACAGUUCCUUGAUGUGGGGUUACUUUGAAGCAGGUGAUAUUCAUAAAGCUAUUCUUGUUUGGAAAGAGAUGACAGACAAUGAUUGUAAUCAUCACGAGGUUUGUUACAGUAUACUUAUUAAUGGAUUGUGUAAAAACGGGAAGCUUAAGGAGGCCUUAAUCGUGUGGAAACAAAUGUUGAGUAGAGGAAUCAAAUUAGAUGUUGUGGCUUAUAGUUCAAUGAUUCAUGGCUUUUGUAAUGCUCAGUUAGUAGAACAAGGUAUGAAACUUUUCAAUCAGAUGCUUUGUCACAAUCCGAAGUUACAACCAGAUGUGGUUACAUACAACAUACUCCUCAAUGCUUUUUGCACAAAGAAUAGUGUCUCCCGCGCUAUUGAUAUUCUAAAUACUAUGUUAGAUCAAGGUUGUGAUCCUGAUUUUAUUACUUGCGAUAUUUUCCUAAAAACUUUACGAGACAAUAUGGACCCGCCUCAAGAUGGGAGGGAGUUUCUAGACGAGCUUGUAGUCCGAUUAAUUAAGCGACAGAGAACAGUUGGUGCUUCCAAUAUUAUAGAAGUGAUGCUUCAGAAAUUUUUGCUGCCUAAACCUUCUACUUGGGCCUUAGCUGUUCAACAGCUCUGCAAACCUAUGAAAGUUCGAAAAACCAUCAGCGAAUGUCAGAGCAGGAUGUGUUGCUGAUAUCGUGUAAGAUGUGUUGUUGAAUAAGAAUUUCUUGAAGCUAAGAAAAUGCCGAUACAGGAAUUUAUUGAUCCAGAUCCUCAAACACAAGAUCACAAACUUUCGAAGUUUAUAUGCAAUUAAAUGUGUUUGAUACAGAACUUUCCUUCUUUUGCCUGCUUGGAGAUAUCAGCAUAUGCGCAGGAUUGAUGCCAAACAGGUGAAAGAUGAGAAUACUACCACUUAACCGAUGAAACAGUUUAAACCACUUUCCGUCAUUGCAAAGUCACUAGAAUAAUUUGCUUUUCUGUCUAAAAUAUGUACACUUUGCAACUUACAAUGGUGAGAACUGAGUAUUAAAAGGAUCAAGUGUUCAACAUUCAAUCAACUUUGAUCUAUAAGAGUGAGUGGAUUUCAACAGGGCUCAGUCAAAGUAAUUGGUUGUAUAUGUACACUCUGUGAGCUGGUAAGUGGUUGUAUGUGUACACUAUCAACAGUUGGCCAGUAAAUGAUUUCAUACAAUUUGCAAGUAUUAUGCAGAUUGCAUCUUGUUAGGCAAAUGAAAGUCAAUAAUGAUGAACUGGUUUAUAGGAUUGCUACCAGAUGCGAACGAACAUAAGUGAAAAGGAAAAGAAUACAAAACUCAUCUUCUGAUUAUAUCUGUCCCUCAGAUUCAGAAAAAGAUGCAAAUUCCAUAGUUGACUCUUAUUAUUACAGCCGAGUAUACAAAUUGGGUGGAAAUUUGGGGGACUGAUUGAUAAAACAGAUAGUCAAGGGUCAGCAAUUGUUGUCUAUUCAAUUAUUUCAUGUACAAAUGAAAUUUCAUAAACUUCCUCCAUUCCAUUGUUGGAUUAUCAAUGGUUUGUGGAGAAUUACAAAAAGGGGACUAGCUUUGAAGAGUUGAACCAAUGGCUUCUUUAGGCGAGAUGACAGUGUCAAGUAACGCAUUGGUUUGGUAAAAAAGAAAAAGGGAAAGCAUUUGGUUGAAGGUGUGAAUUUGUAAAGGAUUUGUUCAUAUGGAUAAUUGAAAUUUUUUAUCGACACAUUCUUUCCAACACACUUUCUUAGUUGUAAUUAUAUAAUCUCGACACAAUUAUGUGAGACUGACAU